RNAcentral lists this long non-coding RNA (1060 nucleotides) under Marmota monax (woodchuck). The record is from RNAcentral. Lineage: Eukaryota; Metazoa; Chordata; Mammalia; Rodentia; Sciuridae.
GGCUUCUCUAAGCCAUCUUAAGAACAGUGGCUUCUGUUUUAUCACUUCAUUCCUUUCACAACCUCUCCUGCUCCCAAGGGACCACUGAAAUUGGACUAAGGAUGCAAUAAUCUAGUAUUUCCAGAGGCAGCAGAAAAGGUUGACGCUUUUUAUAAAAUGUGACUCAUACCCUCUACUUGUUAGGCUUAAGAUCAGCUGUAAGAAAUGGAAAAAUCCAAAGCAGUAGUGGCUUACACAUGCUUAGUAGUUUCCUCUGUAUUAUUUUCCAGAACUGCCGUGACAGUACCACAAACUGGGUGGCUUAAGACUACAGAAAUACCUAAGUUCUGGAGGCUGGAAGUGUGAACUUGGGGUCAUGAUUGUGCUCCUUCUGAAACCUGUAGGAGAAUCUGGUGUUUGUGGCAGACUUUGGUGUUUCUCAGUUAUAAAUGCAGAAUUCCAGUCCCUGCCCUCAUGGUCACGUUCUCAUCGUCACAUGAUCAUCUUAAAAGGAUGCCAAUCAUAUUGGAUUAGGGCCCAACCUAUGACUUCCAUCUUGUUACAUUUGCAAUGAUGUCAAAGAAGUCACAUUCUGAGGUAUGGAGGCGGGUUAGGACUUUCUCUUAGUUUAUAAGCUAGAUGGCUUAUCAACAACCAAUUUAUUAUUCACAGUCCUGGAGAUUGGGAAGUCCAAGGUUAAGGUGCCAGCAGACUGGUGUCAGGUGACCACCCACUUUCUGGCUCAUAGAUGGCCUUGUCACUGUAUUUCACAUGGCAGAAGGGGUGAGGACUCUGAAUCUUCUCAUAAGGGUACUAAUCCCAUUUGUGAGGAUUCUGACCUCAUAACCUGAUCCCCACUUUGACAUGCGCUCAAGUGGGCAUCAGGUGUGGUGGUGUGCGCCUGUCAUCCCAGCCACCUGGAAACUGAAGCAGGAGGAUCGCAAAUUCAAGGCCAGCCUCUGAAACGUAGUUUAGUGGCAGGGCGCUGCCCACCAUGAGCAAGGACCUGAGUUCAAUCCUCAGAACUGCAAACACACACACAAAUUCACACUGGGAAUUAUAUUUCAACAUACAAUUGUUU